Molecule: small nucleolar RNA, 131 nt
Organism: Nannospalax galili (Upper Galilee mountains blind mole rat)
Lineage: Eukaryota; Metazoa; Chordata; Mammalia; Rodentia; Spalacidae
Source: Ensembl
CUCCAUAUAUCUUUGGAACCUGCCAGGUGUGGCAGUCUCCCUUCCUACCUAUGGAAGGGUAUGUUCUUGUUUAUUGGCAAAGCUGUCACCAUUUAAGUGGCAUUGAAUUCUGAAUGACACAAUUAACAUUC